This 447-nucleotide ribosomal RNA is filed under the name uncultured bacterium. RNAcentral describes it as "bacterial SSU rRNA". It matches the Rfam family "Bacterial small subunit ribosomal RNA", at positions 329 to 792 of the family's 1533-position model. The record is from RNAcentral.
UGCCAGACUCCUACGGGAGGCAGCAGUGGGGAAUAUUGCACAAUGGGGGAAACCCUGAUGCAGCAACGCCGCGUGAAGGAAGACGGUUUUCGGAUUGUAAACUUCUGUUCUUAGUGAAGAAUAAUGACGGUAGCUAAGGAGCAAGCCACGGCUAACUACGUGCCAGCAGCCGCGGUAAUACGUAGGGGGCAAGCGUUAUCCGGAUUUACUGGGUGUAAAGGGGGCGCAGACGGCGAUGCAAGCCAGGAGUGAAAGCCCGGGGCCCAACCCCGGGACUGCUCUUGGAACUGCGUGGCUGGAGUGCAGGAGGGGCAGGCGGAAUUCCUGGUGUAGCGGUGAAAUGCGUAGAUAUCAGGAGGAACACCGGUGGCGAAGGCGGCCUGCUGGACUGCAACUGACGUUGAGGCCCGAAAGCGUGGGGAGCAAACAGGAUUAGAUACCCCAGUA